Pleuronectes platessa (European plaice) is the source of this 615-nucleotide long non-coding RNA. RefSeq lists it as uncharacterized. The record is from RefSeq and is a predicted model, not a curated record. The transcript has 3 exons. Lineage: Eukaryota; Metazoa; Chordata; Actinopteri; Pleuronectiformes; Pleuronectidae.
AAUGACUUCACCAGAACAAGAUGGCGGUGCCCACAUGACGGAUAGAGAGUUAUUUAUUGAGAGAGUUUAUGAGUGCAAGCGAGCGGGAGGAGAGAGGAAGUGGAUCAGAUGUUGCUUCACAGGUCAGAUGCUGGAGACGCUCAGUGGGUGAUGUGUGAGUCAGUGGAUGAUCUUCAGCUUCCUGGGAGGUCGUGUGUGGAUCCGUCUGCUGGUUCCUGAGAAACGAGUCACCGACCACACAACACACACAGUGUGAGUCUGAGCAAUUUUAAUAUCUCUGAGAAAAAGUACAGACAUGAUUCUUUAGGGUCGUUGUUGUUGUAAGUAAAGGAAAAGUAAAGUGUGUUGUUAUUACUGCAUUUUAUUCACCCUGUUGUUGCCAGUCGUGUGUGUGUGUGUGUGUGUGUGUGUGUGUGUCUGUUUGCAUCCUGAGGAAGUGACUGAAAAACAGGAUGUAGAUGAAAUACAAAGGUGUUCAGCUGCUGACUUGACUUCCGGCCUCCGUAUGAUUUCCACCUGUUGAGAGGAUGCGUUCCACCUGAGUCUCUGCAGCUUCCGGUCUCCUCACUCUGCAGCUUGUCCUUGUCUCUUGGGUCUUCUCUGUGUCUGCUGGAC